CCUACGGGAGGCAGCAGUGAGGAAUAUUGGUCAAUGGACGAGAGUCUGAACCAGCCAAGUAGCGUGAAGGAUGACUGCCCUAUGGGUUGUAAACUUCUUUUAUAUGGGAAUAAAAUGUUCCACGUGUGGGAUUUUGUAUGUACCAUAUGAAUAAGGAUCGGCUAACUCCGUGCCAGCAGCCGCGGUAAUACGGAGGAUCCGAGCGUUAUCCGGAUUUAUUGGGUUUAAAGGGAGCGUAGGUGGAUUGUUAAGUCAGUUGUGAAAGUUUGCGGCUCAACCGUAAAAUUGCAGUUGAAACUGGCAGUCUUGAGUACAGUAGCGGUGGGCGGAAUUCGUGGUGUAGCGGUGAAAUGCUUAGAUAUCACGCAGAACUCCGAUUGCGAAGGCAGCUUACUGGACUGCAACUGACACUGAGGCUCGAAAGUGUGGGUAUCAAACAGGAUUAGAUACCCUAGUAGUC
RNAcentral lists this ribosomal RNA (460 nucleotides) under uncultured bacterium. RNAcentral's name for it is "partial 16S ribosomal RNA". It matches the Rfam family "Bacterial small subunit ribosomal RNA", at positions 338 to 795 of the family's 1533-position model. The record is from RNAcentral.